GAUGAAGAACGUAGCGAAAUGCGAUAAGUAAUGUGAAUUGCAGAAUUCAGUGAAUCAUCGAAUCUUUGAACGCACAUUGCGCCCGCCAGUAUUCUGGCGAGCAUGCCUGUUCGAGCGUCAUUUCAACCAUCAAGCCCCAGGCUUGUGUUGGGGACCUGCGGCUGCCGCAGGCCCUGAAAACCAGUGGCGGGCUCGCUGUCACACCGGGCGUAGUAGAUUUUAUCUCGCUCAGGGCGUGCUGCGGGUUCCGGCCGUUAAAAAGCCUUUUUUACCCAAGGUUGACCUCGGAUCAGGUAGGAAGACCCGCUGAACUUAAGCAUAUCAAUAAGCGGAGGA
RNAcentral lists this unclassified non-coding RNA (336 nucleotides) under soil metagenome. RNAcentral's name for it is "partial contains 5.8S ribosomal RNA, internal transcribed spacer 2, and large subunit ribosomal RNA". The stretch from base 1 to 120 matches the Rfam family "5.8S ribosomal RNA", at positions 35 to 154 of the family's 154-position model. The record is from RNAcentral.